This 253-nucleotide ribosomal RNA is filed under the name uncultured bacterium. Its description in RNAcentral is "partial 16S ribosomal RNA". It matches the Rfam family "Bacterial small subunit ribosomal RNA", at positions 524 to 776 of the family's 1533-position model. The record is from RNAcentral.
UACGUAGGGGGCUAGCGUUGUCCGGAAUCAUUGGGCGUAAAGAGCGCGUAGGCGGCUAGAUAAGUCCGGUGUGAAAGUCACAGGCUCAACCUGUGAAUGCCGCUGGAAACUGUCUGGCUAGAGUCCGGAAGGGGCGAGUGGAAUUCCUGGUGUAGCGGUGAAAUGCGCAGAUAUCAGGAGGAACACCAAUGGCGAAGGCAGCUCCCUGGUCCAGCACCGACGUUCAGGCACGAAAGCGUGGGGAGCAAACAGG